GGAGGUAGUGACAAUAAAUCACAAUGCGGGACUGUUAGUCUUGCAAUUGGAUUGAGAACAACGUACAACUCUUAUCGAUAAGCCAUUGGAGGGCAAGUCUGGUGCCAGCAGCCGCGGUAAUUCCAGCUCCAAUAGCGUAUAUUAACGUUGUUGCAGUUAAAAAGCUCGUAGUUGAAGUGAGGGAGUGUGUGGGUAUGAGAGCUAGUCUCAAGUACUCACAACCUCCCCCCUCCAAUCGGUGUAGUGGGGUAUUCAGUUAUUCUACUACUCCUUUGGUCGUUUACUGUGAGAAAAUUAGAGUGUUCAAAGCGGGCGUUUGUUUGAAUAGAUUAGCAUGGAAUAAUGAUUGAAGGCUUUCGUGUUCGAAUUGAUUGGUCUGUUCAUGGAAGCAAGGBUAAAAGGAACAGUUGGGGGUAUUCAUAUUCACUAGUUAGAGGUGAAAUUCUCGGAUUUAUGGAAGAUGAACAAGUGCGAAAGCA
Molecule: ribosomal RNA, 479 nt
Filed under: Blastocystis sp. H-11
Lineage: Eukaryota; Bigyra; Opalinata; Blastocystidae
Description: SSU rRNA
Rfam family: Eukaryotic small subunit ribosomal RNA
Source: RNAcentral